RNAcentral lists this non-coding RNA (148 nucleotides) under Chlorocebus sabaeus (green monkey). The record is from Rfam by way of RNAcentral. Lineage: Eukaryota; Metazoa; Chordata; Mammalia; Primates; Cercopithecidae.
GCUGGGCAUGGUGGCAUGUGCCUGUAGUCCCAACUACUCGGGAGGCUGAGGCAGGAGAAUCGCUUGAACCUAGGAGACAGAGGUUGCAGUGAGCUGAGAUGGAGCCACUGCACUCCAGCCUGGGUAACACAGCGAGACUCUGUCUCAA